This is a non-coding RNA of Peromyscus maniculatus bairdii (prairie deer mouse), 1074 nucleotides long. Lineage: Eukaryota; Metazoa; Chordata; Mammalia; Rodentia; Cricetidae. The record is from RefSeq and is a predicted model, not a curated record.
CCCAAAUUCUCCCCAAAGCACUGACAUAUGUAACCGCCCAUCUCUAGACUCCACUUGUCCACGAUUUACAUCUGGUGCUUAGAAUCUCGCUCCUUUCCUUUAACUGUACCAUGCGUUCAACUUUGAUUUGCGUGCUUCUCCCAGGAGCUCGUCCUCCUCUGCUUAACGCAGGUUCCCUACCCACCGUCCGGGGCCACUUGGCUGCCUCCUCGUACUCCUCCUAGGAUUAUCCUAAACGGGGCCCUCGAGAGGAAGAAGAAAUGAUAAGACAUACGACCCGGAAAAUGUGGGGCCACAUGGUCUGGACUCUGAUGGGAAAAGCCAAAUACAGGUGUCUUCCUCUGCUGGCUCGUUUUUAAACAGGGAAAGAUCUCAACCACGGUCUACACACCGAGCUUGGCUGUGUGACUUCAAUGGGCCUUUCUUAAGUGUCACAUACACAGGAAAACCGUUCUACUCUGUUUGUACUGGAAGCACACCCUGACUGACUGCAAUCCGAUUAUAUUUUCAAGUGGUCAUUGUUUCCACUCAGCUGUUUUCUGUGUUUUAGUUUGAGUCUAAAACCUGGGGGGAAACUCAACCUCCUCCUAAGAUUCCUGCAGAUAACAGAAUUGUAAAAUCUGUGGUCACUUCAUUCCUCAUUUUUCAUCGAUGGAACUGGAUGUUUUUCCAGUAACAUCCAAUUUAAGGUAUGUGUGCGUGCGUGCGCGCGCAUGUGUAUUCACAUUCUAGUGUGACCUCUAAACAUACAGUUAUGACGUUUGAUAUAGAAGCUACUUCCUGUCUUCGUGUGCUCUUGUUAGGCUGCGCAGAACACACCACAAAACAGAGACCACCGCUCACAGACGCAAACAGCAAGAGUGUUGUUUAUUCCAGCAUGCUGGGUUUUACCGUCUGUCUGGUGCUCAGUCUCAAGCCCACAGCCCCAAGUGUAAUAGGCAGAAGGCAGUACCCACAAUAGAAGAGAAAGAAGGAAGAAAGACCAUUACUCCCUGGCAAUCAUAUUUUAUCCCAACGCUAAGUUUAUAUGUUUCUUACUGAGUAAAAAUUUUACUUGCCAAAUGUCUACCAUCA